RNAcentral lists this ribosomal RNA (490 nucleotides) under uncultured bacterium. RNAcentral's name for it is "partial 16S ribosomal RNA". It matches the Rfam family "Bacterial small subunit ribosomal RNA", at positions 30 to 507 of the family's 1533-position model. The record is from RNAcentral.
AUUGAACGCUGGCGGCAGGCCUAACACAUGCAAGUCGAACGGUAACAGGAAGAAGCUUGCUUCUUUGCUGACGAGUGGCGGACGGGUGAGUCAUGUCUGGGAAACUGCCUGAUGGAGGGGGAUAACUACUGGAAACGGUAGCUAAUACCGCAUAACGUCGCAAGACCAAAGAGGGGGACCUUCGGGCCUCUUGCCAUCGGAUGUGCCCAGAUGGGAUUAGCUAGUAGGUGGGGUAACGGCUCACCUAGGCGACGAUCCCUAGCUGGUCUGAGAGGAUGACCAGCCACACUGGAACUGAGACACGGUCCAGACUCCUACGGGAGGCAGCAGUGGGGAAUAUUGCACAAUGGGCGCAAGCCUGAUGCAGCCAUGCCGCGUGUAUGAAGAAGGCCUUCGGGUUGUAAAGUACUUUCAGCGGGGAGGAAGGGAGUAAAGUUAAUACCUUGGCUCAUUGACGUUACCCGCAGAAGAAGCACCGGCUAACUCCGUG